GAUGAACGCUGGCGGCGUGCCUAAUACAUGCAAGUCGAGCGAACGGACGAGAAGCUUGCUUCUCUGAUGUUAGCGGCGGACGGGUGAGUAACACGUGGAUAACCUACCUAUAAGACUGGGAUAACUUCGGGAAACCGGAGCUAAUACCGGAUGAUAUUUUGAACCGCAUGGUUCAAAAGUGAAAGACGGUCUUGCUGUCACUUAUAGAUGGAUCCGCGCUGCAUUAGCUAGUUGGUAAGGUAACGGCUUACCAAGGCAACGAUGCAUAGCCGACCUGAGAGGGUGAUCGGCCACACUGGAACUGAGACACGUUCCAGACUCCUACGGGAGGCAGCAGUAGGGAAUCUUCCGCAAUGGGCGAAAGCCUGACGGAGCAACGCCGCGUGAGUGAUGAAGGUCUUCGGAUCGUAAGACUCUGUUAUUAGGGAAGAACAUAUGUGUAAGUAACUGUGCACAUCUUGACGGUACCUAAUCAGAAAGCCACGGCUAACUACGUG
RNAcentral lists this ribosomal RNA (497 nucleotides) under uncultured bacterium. RNAcentral's name for it is "partial 16S ribosomal RNA". It matches the Rfam family "Bacterial small subunit ribosomal RNA", at positions 28 to 507 of the family's 1533-position model. The record is from RNAcentral.